This 384-nucleotide ribosomal RNA is filed under the name Triticum aestivum (bread wheat). RNAcentral's name for it is "partial small subunit ribosomal RNA". The record is from RNAcentral. Lineage: Eukaryota; Viridiplantae; Streptophyta; Magnoliopsida; Poales; Poaceae.
AUGGAUCCGAACAAGAUUUUGAACGUCAGAUUUCAUAUUGGAGGGCAGUUCAUCCACAAUGGUCCUGUUCUUUAUGUUGGGGGCGAUGAAGAGAUGUCACAUAUCGAGAGGGACAAGUUGUCAUUGCAAGAAGUUAGAGGGCAUUUGAAAGACCAUGUUGAUUUGAAGGAAUCGAUGAAGUUGUAUUUUCUGUAUCCUGGGAAGGAACUAGCUGAGAGUCUGGUGUUUUUGUUUGAUGAAAGUGGUUGUAUGAAUAUGGCAGACUAUAUUUGUGUUGGAGAUGUAGCAGAUAUUUAUGUGGAAUAUCAUGGGGAGCAGGACAGUGAGUACAACAGUAGUGGCAGUGAUUAUGAGAAUGAGAUAAUGGAUGUAAGUGAUGAUGAA